RNAcentral lists this transfer RNA (73 nucleotides) under Sarcophilus harrisii (Tasmanian devil). It matches the Rfam family "tRNA". From Rfam's summary of the family: Transfer RNA (tRNA) molecules are approximately 80 nucleotides in length. Lineage: Eukaryota; Metazoa; Chordata; Mammalia; Dasyuromorphia; Dasyuridae. The record is from Rfam by way of RNAcentral.
ACCUAGGUAUUUUAGUGAAUAAGAUGCUUGACUUAAAAUCAGGAAAAUAUGAGUUGCAAUUUUAUCUUAAGCA